Molecule: transfer RNA, 62 nt
Filed under: Hippodamia convergens (convergent lady beetle)
Lineage: Eukaryota; Metazoa; Arthropoda; Insecta; Coleoptera; Coccinellidae
Description: tRNA-Pro
Source: RNAcentral
UUUCAGAGGGUAGUUUAAUUAAAAAUAUUAAUUUUGGAGAUUAAAGAUAUUAGGUUUCCUCU